AUUUUGAACCAGAUUUGACAGCGGCAGUCGAGCUCUCAGAGAUGAUAAAGUCCCUCUGAGUUCCAGGGAAAUCUCUGCCGGCGCUGAGAAGAGAGGCUUUCCAGAUCCACUGCUGAAGAAAAGGCAGGGAGAGCUCAGCUGUUAUCCAUUCUCUCUGGCAGCAUCCAGAUGGCCAAUUAUCACACGUCUACUUCUGGACCAGCAUCUGCUCUCCCCUGCCCAGCUGGCAGGCUGAGAAGAUUAGUGCCGUGGCUGGUGGAAAAAUAGCUCUAGAAGUGUGAAAUUCAUUAAUUCAUGAGAGGCAUGAGAAGCUUGAUUUAUGUCAAAAAGCAUUUGUUUGACACUUUCUCCUGACCUGGGAGGUCAACAGGCUGCUGAGAUGUGUCUUAGAAAGCUGCAGGAUUGGCAGAGCAGAAACCUUCAGUGGGAUCUGAAGAGUUGCACAUAUAAGACAAAAUCCAAGCUUGUCUGAGGUACCCAAUGAUGUCACACCUCCAGCUGUGGAAUUGGCAGGUGCUCCUGGGUUCUCAUCAGCCCCUUUCAAGGCGUGAGGGAAACCAUCUCGGUCCUCUGUGAUCUGCUCCCUGGGAUACAGAUAGCAGGACAAAGCAGUCAUUCUCUUUUUCUCCCAUGGAAUGGAAGAUCUGAGCAAGACCUGCAGGUUGUCCCUCCAACGCUGGGCUGAGCUGGGAUUAUUUCCUCACAGGUUCUCCACAGAGGUAAAUGCUGUCCAACACAAUCACUGAGUUUAGA
Zonotrichia albicollis (white-throated sparrow) is the source of this 753-nucleotide non-coding RNA. The record is from RefSeq and is a predicted model, not a curated record. Lineage: Eukaryota; Metazoa; Chordata; Aves; Passeriformes; Passerellidae.